GAAUAUUGGACAAUGGGCGAAAGCCUGAUCCAGCCAUGCCGCGUGUGUGAAGCAGGUCUUCGGAUGGUAAAGCACUUUAAGUUGGGAGGAAGGGCAGUAAGCGACUACCUUGCUGUUUUGACGUUACCGACUGAAUAAGCACCGGCUAACUUUUUUCCAGCAGCCGCGGUAAUACCGAGGGUGCAAGCGUUAAACGGAAAUACUGGGCGUAAAGCGCGCGUAGGUGGUUCGUUAAGUUGGAUGUGAAAUCCCCGGGCUCAACCUGGGAACUGCAUCCAAAACUGGCGAGCUAGAGUAGGGCAGAGGGUGGUGGAAUUUCCUGUGUAGCGGUGAAAUGCGUAGAUAUAGGAAGGAACACCAGUGGCGAAGGCGACCACCUGGGCUCAUACUGACACUGAGGUGCGAAAGCGUGGGGAACAAACA
RNAcentral lists this ribosomal RNA (423 nucleotides) under uncultured bacterium. Its description in RNAcentral is "partial 16S ribosomal RNA". It matches the Rfam family "Bacterial small subunit ribosomal RNA", at positions 359 to 774 of the family's 1533-position model. The record is from RNAcentral.